CACUUCAGUCUGGACAAUAAUAAUGUACAACGCAGAUCUGACCAAAACAUCUGCUGAUUUCACCUGGAAGAAGCCAGCUUUUUGCUGCUGAUCUGUCGCUCUUUUACAGACUGUGCCAAGGAAAAAUAGUUAGCUGUCCAAGUUCUUGAUUCAGUACAUAAAACAGCCUAGACAACACAACAGAAAAAUACACAUAAAUACAACAGACACAACUUAAAGAGUUCAUUCAGCGACUACACACAGGC
Long non-coding RNA from Biomphalaria glabrata, 245 nucleotides. RefSeq lists it as uncharacterized. The transcript is spliced from 3 exons. The record is from RefSeq and is a predicted model, not a curated record. Lineage: Eukaryota; Metazoa; Mollusca; Gastropoda; Planorbidae.